AGGUGUUUAGAUACGGUACAAUACGCUUUGGGAGCAGGAGGUCGGGCGUUCGAUUCGCCCCACCCCGACCA
RNAcentral lists this transfer RNA (71 nucleotides) under Dehalococcoidia bacterium. Its description in RNAcentral is "tRNA-Pro". The record is from RNAcentral. Lineage: Bacteria; Bacillati; Chloroflexota; Dehalococcoidia.